This 341-nucleotide unclassified non-coding RNA is filed under the name soil metagenome. Its description in RNAcentral is "partial contains 5.8S ribosomal RNA, internal transcribed spacer 2, and large subunit ribosomal RNA". The stretch from base 1 to 120 matches the Rfam family "5.8S ribosomal RNA", at positions 35 to 154 of the family's 154-position model. The record is from RNAcentral.
GAUGAAGAACGUAGCGAAAUGCGAUAAGUAGUGUGAAUUGCAGAAUUCAGUGAAUCAUCGAAUCUUUGAACGCACAAUGCGCCCUUUGGUAUUCCAAAGGGCAUGCCUGUUCGAGCGUCAUUUGUACCCUCAAGCUUUGCUUGGUGUUGGGCGUCUUGUCUCUAGCUUUGCUGGAGACUCGCCUUAAAGUAAUUGGCAGCCGGCCUACUGGUUUCGGAGCGCAGCACAAGUCGCACUCUCUAUCAGCAAAGGUCUAGCAUCCAUUAAGCCUUUUUUUCAACUUUUGACCUCGGAUCAGGUAGGGAUACCCGCUGAACUUAAGCAUAUCAAUAAGCGGAGGA